Non-coding RNA from Armillaria mellea, 82 nucleotides. Lineage: Eukaryota; Fungi; Basidiomycota; Agaricomycetes; Agaricales; Physalacriaceae. The record is from the annotation of a GenBank genome assembly.
GGCGCUAUAGUGUAGUGGCAGCACAUGGGAUUCUGAUUAUUAGGUAAUUCCCAUAACCCAGGUUCGACCCCUGGUAGUGCCU